UACGGAGGGUGCAAGCGUUAAUCGGAAUUACUGGGCGUAAAGCGCACGCAGGUGGCUGAGUCAGUCGAUUGUGAAAGCCCUGGGCUUAACUUGGGAAUUGCAGUCGAUACUACUCAGCUAGAGUAUGGGAGAGGGUAGCGGAAUUCCCGGUGUAGCGGUGAAAUGCGUAGAUAUCGGGAGGAACAUCAGUGGCGAAGGCGGCUACCUGGCCCAACACUGACACUCAGGUGCGACAGCGUGGGGAGCAAACAGG
Molecule: ribosomal RNA, 253 nt
Filed under: uncultured bacterium
Lineage: Bacteria
Description: partial 16S ribosomal RNA
Rfam family: Bacterial small subunit ribosomal RNA
Source: RNAcentral